UACGGGGGGAGCAAGCGUUGUUCGGAUUUACUGGGCGUAAAGGGCGCGUAGGCGGCCACCGCAAGUCGGUUGUGAAAUCUCCGGGCUUAACCCGGAAAGGUCAAUCGAUACUGCGGGGCUAGAGUGCAGAAGGGGCAACUGGAAUUCUCGGUGUAGCGGUGAAAUGCGUAGAUAUCGAGAGGAACACCUGCGGCGAAGGCGGGUUGCUGGGCUGACACUGACGCUGAGAGCGCGAAAGCUAGGGGAGCGAACGGG
Molecule: ribosomal RNA, 255 nt
Filed under: uncultured bacterium
Lineage: Bacteria
Description: partial 16S ribosomal RNA
Rfam family: Bacterial small subunit ribosomal RNA
Source: RNAcentral